AUAACAAUACAGGGCAUUUUAUGCUCUGUAAUUGGAAUGAUGGGAAUGUAAAACCCUUCCAGAGUAACAAUUGGAGGGCAAGUCUGGUGCCAGCAGCCGCGGUAAUUCCAGCUCCAAUAGUGUAUAUUAGAGUUGUUGCAGUUAAAAAGCUCGUAGUUGGAUUUCUGCUGUGGUCAUCCGGUACCGCCCGUAUGGGUGCGCACCUGGUUUGGCUCCGGCUUUCUUCCUGUAGCCGUCCGCGCUUAAUUGCGCGUACUGUGUUACGGAACUUUUACUUUGAGAAAAAUAGAGUGUUUCAAGCAGGCUUGUCGCCCUGAAUACUUCAGCAUGGAAUAAUAGGAUAGGACCUUGGUUCUAUUUUGUUGGUUUCUAGGACCAAGGUAAUGAUUAAUAGGGA
Molecule: ribosomal RNA, 397 nt
Filed under: Eimeria crandallis
Lineage: Eukaryota; Apicomplexa; Conoidasida; Eucoccidiorida; Eimeriidae
Description: SSU rRNA
Rfam family: Eukaryotic small subunit ribosomal RNA
Source: RNAcentral